UACGUAGGGGGCAAGCGUUAUCCGGAUUUACUGGGUGUAAAGGGAGCGCAGACGGCAGUGCAAGUCUGGAGUGAAAGCCCGGGGCCCAACCCCGGAACUGCUCUGGAAACUGUGCGGCUAGAGUACUGGAGGGGCAGGCGGAAUUCCUAGUGUAGCGGUGAAAUGCGUAGAUAUUAGGAGAAACACCAGUGGCGAAGGCGGCCUGCUGGACAGUAACUGACGUUGAGGCUCGAAAGCGUGGGGAGCAAACAGG
Molecule: ribosomal RNA, 253 nt
Filed under: uncultured bacterium
Lineage: Bacteria
Description: partial 16S ribosomal RNA
Rfam family: Bacterial small subunit ribosomal RNA
Source: RNAcentral